Molecule: ribosomal RNA, 407 nt
Filed under: uncultured bacterium
Lineage: Bacteria
Description: partial 16S ribosomal RNA
Rfam family: Bacterial small subunit ribosomal RNA
Source: RNAcentral
AUUGAACGCUAGCGGGAUGCCUUACACAUGCAAGUCGAACGGAGUGGCGAACGGGGGAGUAAGGUAUCGGAAGGUGACCAGUAGCGGGGGGUAACUACGCGAUAGCGUAGCUAGUACCGCCGACUUUGGGAGCGGCCGAUGGGGGAUGAGCUAGUUGGUGGGGUAAGGGCUCACCAAGGCGACGAUCCGUAGCUGGUCUGAGAGGACGACCAGCCACACUGGGACUGAGACACGGCCCAGACUCCUACGGGAGGCAGCAGUGGGGAAUUUUGGCCAAUGGGGGAAAUCCGGAUCCAGCCAUCCCGCGUGUGGGAUGAAGGCCUUCGGGUUGUAAAGCACUUUUGGCAGGAAAGCGGUACCUACAGAAUAAGCACCGGCUAACUACGUGCCAGCAGCCGCGGUAAUAC